This 361-nucleotide ribosomal RNA is filed under the name uncultured Acetobacteraceae bacterium. RNAcentral's name for it is "bacterial SSU rRNA". It matches the Rfam family "Bacterial small subunit ribosomal RNA", at positions 28 to 412 of the family's 1533-position model. Lineage: Bacteria; Pseudomonadati; Pseudomonadota; Alphaproteobacteria; Acetobacterales; Acetobacteraceae. The record is from RNAcentral.
AGCGAACGCUGGCGGAAUGCCUAGCACAUGCAAGUCGCGCGGUUCGGUUUCGGCCGGGCAGCGGCGGACGGGUGCGCAACGCGUAGGAACGUGCCCUGGGGUGGGGGACAACGCCGGGAAACUGGCGCUAAUACCGCAUGGGGGCCGAGGCCCAAAGCCUUCGGGCGCCCUGGGAGCGGCCUGCGUCCGAUUAGCUUGUUGGGGGGUAACGGCCCACCAAGGCGACGAUCGGUAGCUGGUCUGAGAGGAUGAUCAGCCACACUGGGACUGAGACACGGCCCAGACUCCUACGGGAGGCAGCAGUGGGGAAUAUUGGACAAUGGGCGCAAGCCUGAUCCAGCAAUUCCGCGUGGGUGAAGAA